UACGGAGGAUGCAAGCGUUAUCCGGAUUUAUUGGGUUUAAAGGGUGCGUAGGCGGAUAUGUAAGUCAGCGGUGAAACUCACAGGCUCAACCUGUGCCGUGCCGUUGAAACUGUGUAUCUGGAAUGCGGAUGCUGUGGGAGGAAUGUGUAGUGUAGCGGUGAAAUGCAUAGAUAUUACACAGAAUACCGAUUGCGAAGGCAUCUCACAAAGCCGUUAUUGACGCUGAGGCACGAAAGUGUGGGGAUCAAACA
Molecule: ribosomal RNA, 251 nt
Filed under: uncultured prokaryote
Description: partial 16S ribosomal RNA
Rfam family: Bacterial small subunit ribosomal RNA
Source: RNAcentral